Molecule: long non-coding RNA, 668 nt
Filed under: Brassica rapa (field mustard)
Lineage: Eukaryota; Viridiplantae; Streptophyta; Magnoliopsida; Brassicales; Brassicaceae
Description: long non-coding RNA (BRAP_LNC000945)
Source: RNAcentral
UUAAAUUGAUGAAUUUGAUGGUUGAUAUUAUAACUUUCAGACCAUAAUAAUAUUUAAAAGAGUAAUGAAAAUAUAUAAGAUUAUAUUUUCUAUACCAUAGAGUCACCUGAAAUUUAAAUAAAAUUAUUGUAUAACUAUCAAGUUAGAUUAAGCAAUCAAAUUAUAUAUUUAGCUUGUACAUCUGAUAAUGCUUUAUUACGGGACUUGUGAUAAUAUGUAAGUAAACAGUAAUGAAUAAGACCAACAUCGCUUGCUUACAAACCAAGACUGACAUUAAAAAUUACUUGAGUAUUUCUUUACUGUCUAUCAUCUUACUCCUCCUCCAAAAAUAUAUUUGCACAUUCUCUAAAAAUUAAGAUUGAAAAACUCGAAAGUCUGACAUAUUUUAGUUUUGAAAUUUUUCUAAACCAGUGUCGUAUUCACGCUUGGGUUCUUUACAUUACAAAAAACGAAAAAAAGUAUUUAAAAAAAAAAGUAUUGUGCAGUAAAAAAUUAUAAAUUAAUAAUAUCGAAACUAUGAUGAUUUAUUAAUUUAUAGAAUUAUUAACUUAGAAAAAAUGUUGGAAAGAGAAGAAAUGUAAAAUAAGUAUAAUUUUUUUAAAGGUGUAAUUAUAAGAAUAACAUAAGAAGAAUCGUUUAAUUAUGUAUUUUUGUUAAUGUCUGCUGGC